Molecule: microRNA precursor, 248 nt
Filed under: Morus notabilis
Lineage: Eukaryota; Viridiplantae; Streptophyta; Magnoliopsida; Rosales; Moraceae
Description: MIR159 microRNA precursor family
Rfam family: MIR159 microRNA precursor family
Source: Rfam by way of RNAcentral
GGAAAAUAGAAGGAGCUCCGUUUGGUCCAAUACCGAGAGCUGAGGAGUGGCUAGAGCUGCCAUUUCAUGCAUUUUGGCUAUCCUUAAGAUUUUCAUUGCAAAAAUUCAAAAGAAAGAAGUGAAGAGAGAGAGAGGAGAGAAGUUGAUCGUAAAUGUUAAGGGUUUGGCCACGUGCAUGGCGUGGGAGCAACUCCUUCCGCUCCCUUAGCUCACCCAUUGGACUGAAGGGAGCUCCUCUAUUUCUCAUC